CUUCGACAGGUAAAGUGAUACUAAAUAUAAAACUAUUCUACAGAUAUAGCUACUAGGACAGUGGCUUACAAUUACAAUGACAUAUAAUUGUAAACCACUGUUGUACAGUAGUAGCUAUAUCCGUAGAAUAGUUUUAUAUUUAGUAUCACUUUACCUGUC
Paramuricea clavata is the source of this 159-nucleotide non-coding RNA. The record is from the annotation of a GenBank genome assembly. NCBI's taxonomy places the organism in Eukaryota, Metazoa, Cnidaria, Anthozoa, Malacalcyonacea, Plexauridae.